Molecule: ribosomal RNA, 253 nt
Filed under: uncultured bacterium
Lineage: Bacteria
Description: partial 16S ribosomal RNA
Rfam family: Bacterial small subunit ribosomal RNA
Source: RNAcentral
UACGGGGGGGGCAAGCGUUGUUCGGAAUUACUGGGCGUAAAGGGCUCGUAGGUGGCCAACUAAGUCAGACGUGAAAUCCCUCGGCUUAACCGGGGAACUGCGUCUGAUACUGGAUGGCUGGAGAUUGGGAGAGGGAUGCGGAAUUCCAGGUGUAGCGGUGAAAUGCGUAGAUAUCUGGAGGAACACCGGUGGCGAAGGCGGCAUCCUGGACCGAGAUUGACGCUGAUGCGCGAAAGCCAGGGGAGCAAACGGG